This 775-nucleotide ribosomal RNA is filed under the name uncultured Neocallimastigales. RNAcentral describes it as "partial large subunit ribosomal RNA". It matches the Rfam family "Eukaryotic large subunit ribosomal RNA", at positions 24 to 616 of the family's 3401-position model. Lineage: Eukaryota; Fungi; Neocallimastigomycota; Neocallimastigomycetes; Neocallimastigales. The record is from RNAcentral.
UACGACUACAUAUCAGGCAUAUCAAUAAGCGGAGGAAAAGAAACUAACAAGGAUUCCCUUAGUAACGGCGAGUGAAGCGGGAAGAGCUCAAAUUUGAAAUCUUCAAGGUUUUACCUUGACGAAUUGUAGUUUAAAGAAGUGUUUUCUGUUGAAGUUUUGGUAAAAGUUCUUUGGAAUAGGACAUCAUAGAGGGUGAGAAUCCCGUAUUUGACCAUUAUUUUCAGCUGUGUGAUACACUUUCAAAGAGUCGGAUUGUUUGGGAAUGCAGUCCAAAAUGGGUGGUAAAUUUCAUCUAAAGCUAAAUAUUGGCGAGAGACCGAUAGCGAACAAGUACCGUGAGGGAAAGAUGAAAAGAACUUUGAAAAGAGAUGUUAAACAGUACGUGAAAUUGUCAAAAGGGAAGCGUUUGACACCAGUGUUGUUUUCUCGAAAAUCAAUUAAAAAAAGUUGGAUUUUGUGUUGUAUUGACCUUAACAGCUUGCUUCACUCUUUUCCAGCUUUUUUUAAUGCACUUUUCGUUUAACAAGUCAACAUCAGUUUCUUUUGUUGUAAAAGGGUCAUUGGAAGGUGGCUUUCUCUUCGGAGAAAGUGUUUAUAGCCUUUGAUCUCUGCAAUCGGAGAGACUGAGGUCUGCAGCGUAGAUCCUUCGGGGUUAGAUACAUUUGUGCUAAGCUACAGCUUUUCAUAGACAACUUGUUGACUAUGUUUAGUCUUGUAACUUACCCGCUUAUGCUAUUUUACCUACGCUUAGGAUGUUGAGCGCAUGUCUCUCUCU